AGACGUCUACAUUAGAUACCCGGGUAGUCCCAGCCGUAAACUAUGCGCGUUAGGUGUAUCGGUGACCACGAGUUACCGAGGUGCCGAAGGGAAACCGUGAAACGUGCCGCCUGGGAAGUACGGUCGCAAGGCUGAAACUUAAAGGAAUUGGCGGGGAGCACCACAACGGGUGGAGCCUGCGGUUUAAUUGGACUCAACGCCGGGAAUCUCACCGGAUAAGACAGCGGAAUGAUUGCCGGGCUGAAGACUCUGCAUGACUAGCUG
RNAcentral lists this ribosomal RNA (264 nucleotides) under uncultured archaeon. RNAcentral's name for it is "partial 16S ribosomal RNA". It matches the Rfam family "Archaeal small subunit ribosomal RNA", at positions 717 to 982 of the family's 1478-position model. The record is from RNAcentral.